GGGGUUGACUGGUUUCGACAGCAAGGCCAAUGGGUAAGUAAGCAUGCAGAGAACCGUAGCGCGAUCUCUUAAAUCCCUUGCUACAAACUUUUAACUGGCAACGAAGAGUUCGCUCUUGCAGCUUAAUCCGAAGUUUAGUAGGAUCCAGCGCUUUCCCGAAGAUAGUAAGGAAGCAAGAUGUCUCACAAACGCUCUGUUCUGCGGCGUUUGAUCCUGGGGCAUAGCAAUGCAGAAAUAAGGUUUUGGGCACUUCGACCAAGAUUCGAAAAUCUCAGAAGAUAAGGUUUAGGUUGGGUGUUUGCUCUCUGCCUGGGCUCGAAAAUCAAUAGCGAAAUAAGCAUGUAGAAAUCUUAUGUAUUGCUUGUUUGGACGAGGGUUCGAAUCCCUCCAACUCCACUU
Epilithonimonas sp. is the source of this 399-nucleotide non-coding RNA. It matches the Rfam family "transfer-messenger RNA". Rfam says of the family: Bacterial tmRNA, also known as 10Sa RNA or SsrA, is named for its dual tRNA and mRNA-like properties. Its role is to liberate the mRNA from a stalled ribosome. Lineage: Bacteria; Pseudomonadati; Bacteroidota; Flavobacteriia; Flavobacteriales; Weeksellaceae. The record is from Rfam.